RNAcentral lists this transfer RNA (74 nucleotides) under Podarcis lilfordi (Lilford's wall lizard). RNAcentral's name for it is "tRNA.Lys". Lineage: Eukaryota; Metazoa; Chordata; Lepidosauria; Squamata; Lacertidae. The record is from RNAcentral.
AGGUAGCUCAGUUGGUAGAGCAUGAGACGCUUAAUCUAAAGGUCAUGGGUUUGAGCUCCACAAUGGGUGAAAUA